UCGCAAAUUUUGCAAGGCAACAUAUAUAGUAGAACGGUUACAUGGGUGAGCCCGGGGCCUGAAUGUCUUCGGCAGUUCCUCGAGGCGGACCUGAUUGAUUUCAAUGAUGAUGUUCUCUAGCUUUGGUGGAAAACGUUAGCUCGUUUGUUCGUCCGGCCUUCGGGGGAGAAGUUCCUUCAUUGUGUGGAGGCCAGAUGCUGGUCUGUUGUUGCACAUUGUAUCCGUGGAAUCGUGCAAAAAAAAAGAAGACGCCGAAUUGUAGUAGGCUAGUUAGAAGCAGGGUCGUGGACUUCUAUUUUACAUUUCCCUUUUAAUUUUGAUGCUUUGCCUUUCGGACAUCAUAAAUAAUUGUAUGUUAUCAGACGUUUGUUCUUAAAAGAUCCCUCCGUUUCUUUGGGCGUUCCUUAA
Molecule: long non-coding RNA, 408 nt
Organism: Lolium rigidum
Lineage: Eukaryota; Viridiplantae; Streptophyta; Magnoliopsida; Poales; Poaceae
Exons: 2
Source: RefSeq, a predicted model, not a curated record